UACAGAGGGUGCAAACGUUGUUCGGAAUUACUGGGCGUAAAGCGUGUGUAGGCUGCUACAUAAGUCGGAUGUUAAAGCCCCGGGCUCAACCCGGGAAGUGCACUCGAUACUGCGUAGCUUGAGUCUCGGAGAGGUUGGUGGAAUUCUCGGUGUAGAGGUGAAAUUCGUAGAUAUCGAGAGGAACACCGGUGGCGAAGGCGGCCAACUGGACGAAGACUGACGCUGAGACACGAAAGCGUGGGGAGCAAACAGG
RNAcentral lists this ribosomal RNA (253 nucleotides) under uncultured bacterium. RNAcentral's name for it is "partial 16S ribosomal RNA". It matches the Rfam family "Bacterial small subunit ribosomal RNA", at positions 524 to 776 of the family's 1533-position model. The record is from RNAcentral.